UGGGGAAUUUUGGACAAUGGGGGAAACCCUGAUCCAGCCAUCCCGCGUGUGCGAUGAAGGCCUUCGGGUUGUAAAGCACUUUUGGCAGGAAAGAAACGUCAUGGGUUAAUACCCCGUGAAACUGACGGUACCUGCAGAAUAAGCACCGGCUAACUACGUGCCAGCAGCCGCGGUAAUACGUAGGGUGCAAGCGUUAAUCGGAAUUACUGGGCGUAAAGCGUGCGCAGGCGGUUCGGAAAGAAAGAUGUGAAAUCCCAGAGCUCAACUUUUGAACUGCAUUUCUAACUACCGGGCUAGAGUGUGUCAGAGAGAGGUGGAAUUCCGCGUGUAGCAGUGAAAUGCGUAGAUAUGCGGAGGAACACCGAUGGCGAAGGCAGCCUCCUGGGAUAACACUGACGCUCAUGCACGAAAGCGUGGGGAGCAAACAGG
This 429-nucleotide ribosomal RNA is filed under the name Acidobacteriota bacterium. Its description in RNAcentral is "Acidobacteria bacterium partial 16S ribosomal RNA". It matches the Rfam family "Bacterial small subunit ribosomal RNA", at positions 355 to 776 of the family's 1533-position model. The record is from RNAcentral. Lineage: Bacteria; Pseudomonadati; Acidobacteriota.